RNAcentral lists this ribosomal RNA (460 nucleotides) under uncultured bacterium. Its description in RNAcentral is "partial 16S ribosomal RNA". It matches the Rfam family "Bacterial small subunit ribosomal RNA", at positions 338 to 795 of the family's 1533-position model. The record is from RNAcentral.
CCUACGGGUGGCAGCAGUGAGGAAUAUUGGUCAAUGGACGGGAGUCUGAACCAGCCAAGUCGCGUGAGGGAAGACGGCCCUAUGGGUUGUAAACUUCUUUUAUAUGGGAAUAAAGUGUUGGACGUGACCUGUUUUGUAUGUACCUUAUGAAUAAGGAUCGGCUAACUCCGUGCCAGCAGCCGCGGUAAUACGGAGGAUCCGAGCGUUAUCCGGAUUUAUUGGGUUUAAAGGGUGCGUAGGCGGAUUGUUAAGUCAGUUGUGAAAGUUUGGGGCUCAACCGUAAAAUUGCAGUUGAAACUGGGAGGCUUGAGUACGGUAGAGGUAGGCGGAAUGCGUGGUGUAGCGGUGAAAUGCUUAGAUAUCACGCAGAACUCCGAGUGCGAAGGCAGCUUACUGGACUGCAACUGACGCUGAGGCUCGAAAGCGUGGGGAUCAAACAGGAGUAGAUACCCGAGUAGUC